AUGCUGCUCUCCAGCCUGCUGUGGGCAUAUGCGGCCUUCAUCUUCUCUGGAUCCAGCGUGGCCCAGAAAAUUAUUCAAGACCAGUCACCCAUAGUCAAGCAAGAGGGGACAGCAGCCACCACCCUGAACUGUCGGUAUGAAACAAGUCAGAUCACCUACCAUAUUUUUUGGUAUAAGCAGCUUACAAGUGGAAAGCUCAUUUUUCUUAUUCGUCAGUCUUCUUAUGGCCAAAAUACAAAGACUAGCCGCUAUUCUACAAACUUCCAGGAAACAGCAAAAUCCAUCAAUUUCACCAUUUCAACCUUACAGCUAAAAGAUUCAGGAAAAUAUUUCUGUGUUCUCUGGGAACUCACGGUGUUUAAAGUAAUGGUAAAAGCUGAACAAAAACCCCAGAGCUCAGUAAGAGAGUCCCCCCACUGCAGAAGCCAAGCUGAAAUGCACACCUGCAGAUCCCAGACACAUAAUGGCAGUGGCCAUGGUUGCUUAAUCUGUGGUUUGGAUCAGAAGACUUAA
This is a non-coding RNA of Miniopterus natalensis, 513 nucleotides long. NCBI's taxonomy places the organism in Eukaryota, Metazoa, Chordata, Mammalia, Chiroptera, Miniopteridae. The record is from the annotation of a RefSeq genome assembly.